CAACCCUCAAGCCCAGCUUGGUGUUGGGGACCUACGGCUCGCCGUAGGCCCCGAAAUUCAGUGGCGGGCUCGCCGUAGACCCGAGCGCAGUAGUAACAUCUCGCUUGCGGAACGACGGUGGGUGUCGGCCGUUAAAACCCCAACCUAAAUAC
RNAcentral lists this unclassified non-coding RNA (152 nucleotides) under uncultured Vermiculariopsiella. Its description in RNAcentral is "sequence contains ITS2". Lineage: Eukaryota; Fungi; Ascomycota; Sordariomycetes; Sordariales; Helminthosphaeriaceae. The record is from RNAcentral.